CGAACAAAAUUGCUGGUUUGUAAAACCUUGGAAGAGGCUUUAAGGAAAAUCCAGGAGCUGGAAAUGCAAGAUAAUUUGUGCCUGACUCUAGUACGAAGAAUUUUGGGAAGACGAUUUGGCCUAAAAAGACCUGUAGCAGUUAACAAGCUAUUAGAUGCACAAUAGCACAAAAUGACCACCACCACUAUCACCCUAAAGUGUGUGCUUGGUGUCUGUCUACACGUGCUUGCUUCUGGAAUGUUGAAGAACAAACUGUGUUGAAACGCCAACUGGAGUUGGUUAUGGACCUUUGCCGCCCUUCAUCCAGAGCCUUCCACAGAGAUGGCAGAUAUAUCGCUGCCUGGACCAACAGUUGACCAUGCCGUUGAGUCCAUGAUAUCAGUAGCAGCCAUGAAAACAUCUACAGAAUUACAUCUGCGGCCGUGGCUAUUAAUGGAUACAUUCUGCACCACUUCCAUGUGCUGUCAGUUUGAAACGUCUCUACUCUGACAGAAGGAAGGGAAUGAAUACCCAGGAUUGUUCCUCAGGAAAAUCUCUUCAACAGGCUGUUGUCAGUUUGCAUGCUCUUUGGAUGGAAUUACUCUACCUUGGCUUGCAGAGAAUCUGUGAUAUAAAAGACCUCUUUUGUGCUGCAUUGUGUCAUUGAUUUAUUGUAUUUUAUAUGUAUUAUGCCACUAUUGUAAAAACAAAUGGGCAUAUGUUUUAGCGUAUGUUUUCAAACAGACACAUUUAUAUUUCAAACAGACACAUUUAUAUUUUUGAAUAAUUUGAAAAUACAUUUUGUAGGUUGACUUCAAUCCAUGAAACAUUAAUGGUAGGUUAUAUUUGACCAGAACAUGACAAGUAUUGUUUUCGGAGUUUUUUGGUCGAAGGUGAAGGUAAUGGCUAACAGUGGUUAUUCUGCACAAUGAACCUUGAAUUCUUUGACCUAGGACCAUUAAUAUUUAGUGAUUGAUAUAUCAGUCCAACUCAUAUGUGAAAGGGACAUGAUGAAAUUGAGCAAGAGCUUAUUAGCAUUGCAAAUUAUUAUUUGUUCAUUUUUAGCUCGACUAUUCGAAGAAUAGGUGGGCUAUACUAUCAUUAACAAUUCUGCGUUAAAGUUUUCAUUUUAUGUAAUAAAAUCAAGAGUUUUUAUCCAAUGGUAAUCAAACUUGGUCAGACUAUUUGUCGGCAUGUUAUCUUGAAGAUGUAUGAAUAUGGGUCAUCCCUGGUCAAAUUCUAGGUCACUAGGUCACAUCUUAGAGAAAAUAUUUCCAUGUCAUAAAUUCAACAUUUUUUUCAUAUCUUUAUGAAACUUGGUCAGAAUAUUUGUCUGCAUACUAUCUUGAAAGUUUUUUAAUAUGGGUCAUCCCGGGUCAAAUUCUAGGUCACUAGGUCAAAUCUUAGGAAAAUCAUUCCACAUCAUAAAUUGAACAAUUUUUGUCAAAUCUUUAUGAAACUUGGUCAGAAUAUUUGUCUGCAUAAUAUCUUAAAAGUUCUAUAAUAUGGGUCAUCCCCGGUCAAAACCUAGGUCACAAGGUCAAAUUUUAGAAGAAAGAAUCCCACAGUCAUAAAAAUUCAUUAAUUUUAGUCAAAUCUUUUUUUAAACUUGGUCAGAAUAUUUGUCUACAUGUUGUCUUAAUCAUUUGUGAAUAUAGGUCACCUCAGAUCAAAAACUAGGUCACUAGGUCAAAUCUUAGGAAAUACUUUCCUGAUGUCAUAAAAAAAAUCCAUGCUUACCAAAGCUAUCCAUAUCAGUUAAUAACUAAAUUCAAUUGUUAUUUUAUAAACACACAUCCCAAUCAUGAAUUUCAGAUCUAACCAUAUUUUUCAAAAAUUUAAAUUUUAAUUAACUUUAAAAAUAUUUGUGUACAUGAAAUCUUAGAUGAUAAAGUGUGUCAUCUAGGGUCAAAAACUAGGUCUCUGGGACAGAUCUUUUUGGAAAAGCUGAUGUAUUUAUAAAAUGUUCGUUUUUCCUCACACAAAUGGAAUAGUUUCUGUUGAUCAGGUUAUUUGUAUGAAUGAUAUCUCCGAUAAAUAUAAAUAUGGGUCUUUUUGGUUAAAAAUACUAGGUCAUUAGCUCAAAUCCUAGGUUUGCAAAAUUGCAUUGUCAAAUAGAAAAUCAAGCUUUGCCGCGUUGGCGUCUUGUUAUUUUUUUUAUUUUGACAGGCACAUUUUUAUUAUCUUAACCAAAUCAAACCUUGUUUUGUCACAUUGUGAUUCUUAUUCACUUUUUUUAUUUAAUUGUUUUAUUAGCUCACCUGUCACGUAGUGACAAGGUGAGCUUUUGUGAUCACUCUUCGUCCGUCGUCCGUCCGUCAGUCCGUCCGUCCGUCCGUCCGUUCACAAUUGCUUGUGAACACAAUAGAGGUCACAAUUUUGACCUAAUCUUUAUGAAACUUGGUCAAACUGAUCAUCUCUAUGAAAUCUAGGUCAAGUUCGAUACUGGGUCAUCUGGGGUCAAAAACUAGGUCACUAGGUCAAUUAGUAGAAAAACCUUGUGAACACAAUAGAGGUCACAAUUUUAGCCUAAUCUCAAUGCAACUUGGUCAGAAUGGUCAUCUCUAUAAAAUCUAGGUCAAGUUCGAUAUUGGGUCAUCCGCGGUCAAUAAUUAGGUCACUAGGUCAAUUAGUAGAAAAACCUUGUGAACACAAUAGAGGUCACAAUUUUAGCCUAAUCUCAAUGCAACUUGGUCAGAAUGAUCAUCUCUAUAAAAUGUAGGUCAAGUUCGAUAUUGGGUCAUCCGCUGUCAACAACUAGGUCACUAGGUCAAUUAGUACAAAAACCUUGUGAACACAAUAGAGGUCACAAUUUUAGCCUAAUCUCAAUGCAAGUUGGUCAGAAUAAUCAUCUCUAUAAAAUCUAGGUCAAGUUCGAUAUUGGGUCAUCCGCAGUCAAUAACUAGGUCACUAGGUCAAUUAU
This is a long non-coding RNA of Mya arenaria, 2902 nucleotides long. RefSeq lists it as uncharacterized. The transcript is spliced from 4 exons. The record is from RefSeq and is a predicted model, not a curated record. NCBI's taxonomy places the organism in Eukaryota, Metazoa, Mollusca, Bivalvia, Myida, Myidae.